GAUGAACGCUGGCGGCGUGCCUAAUACAUGCAAGUCGAGCGAACAGACGAGGAGCUUUCUCCUCUGACGUUAGCGGCGGACGGGUGAGUAACAAGUGGAUAACCUACCUAUAAGACUGGGAUAACUUCGGGAAACCGGAGCUAAUACCGGAUAAUAUAUUGAACCGCAUGGUUCAAUAGUGAAAGGCGGUUUUGCUGUCACUUAUAGAUGGAUCCGCGCCGCAUUAGCUAGUUGGUAAGGUAACGGCUUACCAAGGCAACGAUGCGUAGCCGACCUGAGAGGGUGAUCGGCCACACUGGAACUGAGACACGGUCCAGACUCCUACGGGAGGCAGCAGUAGGGAAUCUUCCGCAAUGGGCGAAAGCCUGACGGAGCAACGCCGCGUGAGUGAUGAAGGUCUUCGGAUCGUAAAACUCUGUUAUUAGGGAAGAACAAAUGUGUAAGUAACUAUGCACGUCUUGACGGUACCUAAUCAGAAAGCCACGGCUAACUACGUG
Molecule: ribosomal RNA, 497 nt
Filed under: uncultured bacterium
Lineage: Bacteria
Description: partial 16S ribosomal RNA
Rfam family: Bacterial small subunit ribosomal RNA
Source: RNAcentral